This 401-nucleotide ribosomal RNA is filed under the name uncultured bacterium. Its description in RNAcentral is "partial 16S ribosomal RNA". It matches the Rfam family "Bacterial small subunit ribosomal RNA", at positions 338 to 754 of the family's 1533-position model. The record is from RNAcentral.
CCUACGGGUGGCUGCAGUGGGGAAUAUUGGGCAAUGGGCGCAAGCCUGACCCAGCAACGCCGCGUGAAGGAAGAAGGCUUUCGGGUGGUAAACUUCUUUUGUCAGGGAAGAGGAGAAGACGGUACCUGACGAAUAAGCCACGGCUAACUACGGGCCAGCAGCCGCGGGAAUACGUAGGUGGCAAGCGGUUUCCGGAUUGACUGGGUGGAAAGGGCGUGUAGCCGGGUUGACAAGUCAGAUGUGAAAUCCUGCGGCUUAACCGCAGAACGGCAUUUGAAACUGUUGAUCUUGAGUACUGGAGAUGCAGCUUGCAUUCCUUGUGUCGCGGUGACAUGCGUAGCUAUUAGGCGGAACACCAGUGGCGCAGGCGGUCUGCUGGACAGCAACUGACGGUGAGGCGC